UCCUUGAGAGUCCUGAAGGAGCGUUAAAGACGAUGACGUUGAUAGGUCGGGUGUGUAAGCGUAGCGAUACGUUGAGCUAACCGAUACUAAUGAACCGUGAGGCUUAACCUU
RNAcentral lists this ribosomal RNA (111 nucleotides) under Klebsiella aerogenes. RNAcentral's name for it is "partial 23S ribosomal RNA". It matches the Rfam family "Bacterial large subunit ribosomal RNA", at positions 2812 to 2925 of the family's 2925-position model. Lineage: Bacteria; Pseudomonadati; Pseudomonadota; Gammaproteobacteria; Enterobacterales; Enterobacteriaceae. The record is from RNAcentral.